GAUGAACGCUGGCGGCGUGCUUAACACAUGCAAGUCGAACGAUGAAGCCCAGCUUGCUGGGUGGAUUAGUGGCGAACGGGUGAGUAACACGUGAGUAACCUGCCCUUAACUCUGGGAUAAGCCUGGGAAACUGGGUCUAAUACCGGAUAGGAGCGUCCACCGCAUGGUGGGUGUUGUAAAGAUUUAUCGGUUUUGGAUGGACUCGCGGCCUAUCAGCUUGUUGGUGAGGUAAUGGCUCACCAAGGCGACGACGGGUAGCCGGCCUGAGAGGGUGACCGGCCACACUGGGACUGAGACACGGCCCAGACUCCUACGGGAGGCAGCAGUGGGGAAUAUUGCACAAUGGGCGCAAGCCUGAUGCAGCGACGCCGCGUGAGGGAUGACGGCCUUCGGGUUGUAAACCUCUUUCAGUAGGGAAGAAGCGAAAGUGACGGUACCUGCAGAAGAAGCACCGGCUAACUACGUG
This 466-nucleotide ribosomal RNA is filed under the name uncultured bacterium. RNAcentral's name for it is "partial 16S ribosomal RNA". It matches the Rfam family "Bacterial small subunit ribosomal RNA", at positions 28 to 507 of the family's 1533-position model. The record is from RNAcentral.